This 497-nucleotide ribosomal RNA is filed under the name uncultured bacterium. RNAcentral's name for it is "partial 16S ribosomal RNA". It matches the Rfam family "Bacterial small subunit ribosomal RNA", at positions 28 to 507 of the family's 1533-position model. The record is from RNAcentral.
GACGAACGCUGGCGGCGUGCCUAAUACAUGCAAGUAGAACGCUGAAGCGAGGAGCUUGCUCUUCUUGGAUGAGUUGCGAACGGGUGAGUAACGCGUAGGUAACCUGCCUUGUAGCGGGGGAUAACUAUUGGAAACGAUAGCUAAUACCGCAUAACAAUGGAUGACACAUGUCAUUUAUUUGAAAGGGGCAAUUGCUCCACUACAAGAUGGACCUGCGUUGUAUUAGCUAGUAGGUGAGGUAAUGGCUCACCUAGGCGACGAUACAUAGCCGACCUGAGAGGGUGGUCGGCCAGACUGGGACUGAGACACGGCCCAGACUCCUACGGGAGGGAGCAGUAGGGAAUCUUCGGCAAGGGGGGCAAACCUGACCGAGCAACGCCGCGUGAGUGAAGAAGGGUGUCGGAUCGUAAAGCUCUGUUGUAAGUCAAGAACGGGUGUGAGAGUGGAAAGUUCACAAUGUGACGGUAGCUGACCAGAAAGGGACGGCUAACUACGUG